UCCCUCAUCUCCUGCAACCUUAUCAUCUCCCGUGCUUCUCUCUUCCUCGCAUCUCUCAUUCUCUCUCCCUCAUUUAUCCUCUAUCUCUCUCCUACCUUAUCUGCCCGCGGAGGGAGCGGCAUGCGGCGGGAGCGGUGUGCGGUGGCCAACGGGUGCGGCGGCCGGCGGGCGCAGCGUGCGGCGGCCGAUGGGUGCUGCGUGCGGUGGACGUGGCGGUCGGCGGGCCCCUAGACCUCCCUUCUGCUGUGAGCGCGGACGGCUGGACCUCCUGCGGCCAAGAGUUCUUGGAACUGACGAGUGCAGGCCCGGUGCCCGGAUUGUGCCCACGGCCGUGGACAUGCAGGCGCUGUUCAACGCGGACGGCGUUGUGAAGCCGCGGCGGUGCGGCGCUCCGACGACGUUGUGGAGCUGCGGCGACGCGGAGGAGCGCGCGACGGGCGCGCUCGCUCGGCGGCUCGACGCAGGGCUGCAUGAGCCGUGGGGGGGGGGCGCGCUCGCUCUGCGGCACGGGCAUGGCGGCGGCCUGGCGCGGCGGCGAUCUGGACAAGCUGCGGCGGCCUGGCCAGUGGCGGCGGGGCUGGCCUGGACGGCGGGCGCAGCUAUUUUUUUUGUUUUUUUUAAAUCAAUUACUAGGGGCGGGUGACGGGAUGACCCGUCCCUAGAAAUCGAUUUUUAGGGACGGGUGACGGGUGACCCGUCCUUUGAAAUCUAUUUUUAGGGGCGGUUGAUGGAGUGACCCGCCCCUUAAAUAGAUUUGUAGAGGCGGAUGAAGGUGUGACCCGCCUCUAGAAAUGGGUUUUCAGGGACGGGAACGUUAUCCGCUCCUGCAAAUACCAUUUUUGGCUGCGAAAAGCAGCAACGGGUCUGAGAUCUGCCCCAUCCGCCCCUAGAAAUAGCAUUUUGACCGCCCCCACAAAUUCUUUACAUUGUAGUGCCAGGUUGCAUCAGAACACUUACGACGACACGUGGGGACCAUUAGGGAUGUAGAGUAUUGCACAUAUAAAACUACUAUAUGUUUUUAACAA
Panicum virgatum (switchgrass) is the source of this 1025-nucleotide long non-coding RNA. RefSeq lists it as uncharacterized. The transcript is spliced from 2 exons. NCBI's taxonomy places the organism in Eukaryota, Viridiplantae, Streptophyta, Magnoliopsida, Poales, Poaceae. The record is from RefSeq and is a predicted model, not a curated record.